GCGCCGGGCACCUCGGGGGGCCGGCGGGGCGCGGGGCGGACACCCGGGGCGCCCGCGCGGGAGGCGCCGGUGCCGGGCAGAGCCCACCGCUCCUCGCCCCCAGCCUACUUCGGGGAGGAAGGCAGGGAGGGGAGGGCUGAGCCCACGCCUGGCGAGUCGGGAGACUGCGCGGUGAUGUGGCCGCCGCCGUCCUGCCCUCGGCGCGAAGGGAGCCGCUGGCCUUUCUCGUCCUCUGGAGCGCGCGGUACCUCGUUUAAUUCCCAUCCCAACUCUGCGCGAUUGACUCCGGUUUUACAGAUGGGGAAACUGAGGCCCAGGAAAGCGCCUUCCCCAAAGCCACAGACUAACUCGUGGGAACGCCUUACUGGUGGAAAUAAUAUGUUUGACCUGGCGGGUGAGAUGAACCUACAACAGCAUGCUGGCAACACUGUUGGUGCCCACUCGACAGCCACGUUCCUUCUGUGCUCGCAGCACCCUGCUGCCAUGGGGAGGAGAGAUGCCCCUAGCUGACAGUGCACAGCUCUCCAGCCUCCCUUGCAGCUAGGAUGGACCACAGGACACACUUCUGGACGAUGGAGCCAGAAUCCAACCAAGACCACAGAAUCCACGCCGGUUAUUUCAGAGAGAGGACACAGUGCAGGGACGUGUUUCCACAGGUGGCGGAAAGAGUGUCUGCCCCUGUCUAAACCCACCCAAAAGCUGGAAGACAAUAGGGAAUACUAUCAGGAUAUGAAUCUGAAAGAAAACAGGCAAAUGACCAGGAUAUCUUUCCAAACCUCAUCCAUGCUAAUUUAUUGGAAGCCGCAUCAUGAAUUUACGUAGCAACCGUUGAAUGGAGUCGAGCCAGUUGGAUGGUGCCCCCUCCGCAGCGCCUUUCGCGCUGGGUUACACGUUAACCAUCCUAGGCCGUCCUGCGAGCCCGGGCUGCCUUUCACGUGCAUCUGAAACUCAAAGUGCAUAGAAUAGUCUCUCAAGUCCUCCUCUCUCCGAGAGCUGCCUGGCUGUUGCCCUUCCUGAGUCCUGCUUCUUCGGUGCGCCUUGGGAUUUCAGGGCAUUCCCCGUUGGCUUAAGUUCACUCAAGUUCAUCCGGAAGAUCCAUAACCAGUUCAAACUACUUGCUGAGGGCUUCAGCCCAGGACGCAGCCUCUCCGAUGCCCUGAGGGACGGCUCUGAAGAGGCAAGGGAGGAACCAGGAUACACAGGAGUUUUUGCAACCAAGACCAGGUAGCCGGAACAUCAGAAGAUUACCGUUAAAGAAAAACCAAGCAUCUCAAGUUCAUGGAUUUAGAGCUUUUCUAGUUAUGGGAAGAUGCAGGAGUCUGGGCUCAUCGAAAUCAUUCCUUUGAUUUGCACCUCAACUCUCUAGGGCCAGUAUCCUGCUUUUUCCAUCCUGAAUCCACUCAGGGUGCACAGUUGGUGGGGGGCUCCAGUGGCCGCUGGCUUCAUGGCUGCAGCAUCCUUUGUUUACUGAUACGGCAGUCGGCAUUUUUUGUCCACAGCAUGCACAGCGAGAGCACCGCCCACAUUUACUGAGUGCUUACCACGAGCCGGCACACACACCGUCUAAUUCAACGGUCACACGAGCGCUGCAAGGGAGCUACCAUGACUUUGGCCACUUUACAGGUGAGGAAAGUGACAUUCAGAGAGGUUAAGUGUGUGACUAAGGCCCCACAGCUGGUAAGCGAUGGAGUCAGCCCUCGAAUCCAGGUUCGUUCAACGCCAGGUCCACACUCUGGACGACUUGCUGUUCGCCGGCAUUUGAUGCUGAUUCAUUUCCUGUUCUUCUGGUGACGGCCCUGUCUGUGCAGGGACUCUGAGUGGGCUCAAGGCCUGGCCAGAUGCUGUCGGAUGUACUCCGUGCAACGUGGGGAGCUGAGCCCUCAGGCGCUUCCCGGGCCACGUGACUCUUGGCGAGAGCCGGGUCUAGGCGGCUGUGCGGCUGUGUGAUCUACCCACGCCGGGCUGUCCAUACAGGGCACCCGGUUCUGCUCCGUGGACGCCUAAGGUGGUGUGGAGGCAGAGGAGGGCUUGCUGGAACUGCGAUUUGGCCCUUCCAGCCAAGUGUGAGUCAGGCCUGUUUUUAGCGGUGCCCCUCAUCCAGCUGGGCCAGGUUUGACGCUAGGGGCUUUCUGCAUUCCUCUAUUUCCUUGGUCCAACGGCUAGAUGAUCUGGGGACUCGGCAUUUUCCAGCUGAUAUUUCUGCACACGUGACUCUUAGCAAGGCUGGCGGUGGAGGGAAGGAACACUAGCCGUUGCAGGAGCUGGUGACAUUAUGACAAUGAUGUUUGUUGAAUGACUCUGUGGGUUCUGCCAGCCCGUGGGCAGGAGCAGGCAUGGCAGAUGGCGAGGCACUUGCUCUACCCCCCACCUGCUCUACCAGUGCCAGACAUGACUAGGUGGUCAGGAUACUCUCUCCCCCUGCGCUCGGACACAUCAGAAAGGGGGCUGUGAUCAAUUAGCAGUGGCUGCCGCUGACGGUGUGGAAGUGUGGGGACCAAGUCCAGCUCUGUGCCUUCUGGGGUGGAGGGUAUUUGUUGAAAGUUUAGCUACUGUAUGGAAUCACUUACAUCUGCUCUAUUGACGAUAGUUUUUUUUAGUGUGUUCAGAGCACUUUAAUUUGGGAUUCUGCAGAAGCAGACCCCCAGACCAGAGUUUGAGUGCAGGUUGUUUAUUUGGGAGGUGGCCCGGAGGAACGGGAGGCCAGGGGGCCAGUGAGGCCGCGGGUGUGGAUGCAUAGCUUCCCACUGUGGGCCACGGGGGCCUCUCGGAACUGUGUAGACUAUUUCCAGAGUCAUCCCCCUCAAGGGGCGAGCAGUGGAGUAUUUAUUCUGCAUCCCCGGCCUGUCAUUGGAGGAGGGCUGCUCAUGGGUCCCUAGUGCCUCAGCACUUUCGUCCUGCCCUUGAGUGUGAGACGUUCAGGUCUUGUUUCCACAGAGAGCCCUCAGGCCGAGAGCCUCCGGGCUGUGGUGGGAAGAAAGGGGGGCUGUGCCCGGGGUGUGGGCGGGCACCGUGUCUGCCCCAGAAGAGCAGCUUUGACAGUGUCGUGACCAGAGAGAGCACUGCCCUGGAUCCCGAUGGUCUGGGGUCAGGCCCCGGCCGCUCCGGGUAGCACUGGGUAGCACCCAGGCUCUCUGGCAGGUAUCAUUCCUGCCCUGUCACCCGGAGGGGUUUGCUAUGGGGGUCAAAUGAGGCAAUGCGUGUGAAGAUGCUUUGUUGAAAGUCUGCAUCAAGGUCAUUUCUGGCUGCCUGCCUCCCUCCCCUGGGGUCCUCUCCUCCCUGGCGCUCUGGGGAAUGGCUAAUUAUGACCCCCCUCAUCCCAGCCAGCCAAGCUGGGCCAGUGGAGGGUCCCCUCCUCUUGGCCACAGUGCACGACCCAAGGAGAGCCAUUCGAGCCUUGCUUGGGAUUGAGAUGUGGGCCCCGGGAGACAGGAGACCUCUGUUCCUUAUCGCAGGGCGCUGUAGCCUGGGGCUGCUGACCGUCACCGUCCCAAGCAGAGCUGAAUGGCAGAGCGAGAGAGAGGGACAGACAGACAGACAGACAGAUGGGGAGCGAGGCCUGAUGACCUUGUUUGAGUCGGGAUCCAGUUGUCACCAAAACUCAUGCCUUUCUUGAAGCUUCCUGUUAGGUGGCCUGGAGCAGCUGGAUAUCAUAGAUGGAAAAUGAACCUGGACCCAUCCUCACACCUUCUACAAAAUUCAGCUCAAAGGGGGUUACGAUCUGAAAUGUAAAACAUGAAACCACGACACUCUUAGAAAAACCAGAGGAGGAAAUCUUGGGGACCUCAGACCCCGAGUGACAAGUUGGGUGACAAGUUGUUAGAUUUGGCAUUAGAAAGUAUGAUCCAUAAGAAAAAAAUUGAUAAAUUGGACCUCAUCAAAAUUAAAAACUUCUGCUUUGUGCACGACCCUGGUAAGAUGAAAAGACAAGUUACAGAGAGGGAGAAAACAUAUGCAGAGGUCCGACCUGACAAAGGACUAGUGUUAGGACACGGGAAGAACUCUCAACGGAGAACAUCAGCAGAGGGAAGACCCCGGAGACGGGUCUCCUGGGCCCUGCUCUGUCCAGUAGAACUUCCUUUUGUCCAGUAUGGGAGCCACGGCCACAUGGGCCUCCCUGCCCGCUGGGGUGGGUCUGAGGGUGGACAGCUGGCCCAGCGUCUUGGCUUGAGACCCGACCCAGCCACCAGUGCUUGCCAGCCACGUCCAGUGGCCCUCAAACUGAUCUGAGAGAGGUGCUCUGUCCCACUUCCCAGUGACGCUAGGACAGUGCGAGCUGGACCCUGGGGGACCCUGGCUGCGGCAGGGGCAGCGGGUCCAGGAGGGAGCCUGAGCCUGACACUCGGGGAGGGAUGGGGGCUCAGCCUCACCCGCUUCAGGCAGCCAUGUGAGCGUGUGGCAGCAGAGGCUGCCUGGCUGGGUGGCGACCUGCUCCUCUGGUUGGUCCUGCUGCUGCCGUUGCCGUGCAGCUGGAGUGGACGAAGGCCUAGCUUAGGAAAGGGGGGGCGUUGCUGGGCGUCGGGCAGGCUCCUAGUGCCCCUUGGCUGCAGCUCACCUCUCUCUGACGUCGGCCUCGUCACCCCCCCCAGAGAUGAGGAACGGGGCUUGCUGGCCCGUCAGCCCCUGGCCGUCCUGGUGCCGGACCCCGCACCUCCUCGGGCCUGUUCAGUGGUCAAGCUUAUGCUUUUCCCAACACUGCGAGGCCAGCCUUAAGGAAUGUUUUUCGCAGAAAAGUAUCGUCUAUUCAUGUGGUAUGAAAAUGGCCUGAGUUUGUUUCACUCUGGGAUUUAAAAAGUUACGACUUUAUGGUACCCUGGAGCCCAGGACUCAGAUGGCCACCGUCCCUCCGGGUGGGCCUGGUCUGGGAAGGUCCUGUCCCAGGACUCUGGCCUGGCCCUGGCUGGCUCCCCACCAGCCAGCGUGAUCCCCCCAGAGCGGAGCUGGACCCCACGUCUUCUCUGCCGGGAGUCUUGAGGCCUCUCCCCUCACUCAGAGUCAUGGCUGGGCCUCCGCGCGCCUCUGGGGCUGCGUUCCUUCCCGCCCCCACCUUCCGGAACUUUCCACGUCAUUACUCCAGCCGGGCCCCAGCCCCCUCACAGGCCUCCCGUCAGUUGGGCUCCCCCCUGGAUGGAGGCUGGGGUCUGGGCCUGUCCCCGUCCCCCAGGGCGUUACACAGCAGCACGUGACACAGAGAAGGUCCUCGAUACAGGGACACGUGUGUGAGGAACAGAGGGCCAAACCGAGGGCCGAGCACGUGACACCACAUGCCGCGUUUGUCACAAGGAGAGUCAACUUGAUGGCAUCAGAAGAGGCGGGCGGGUGUGCCCCGGGCGGGAGCUCGGAGGACUGUCUGCUGCGUUAACGAGUGAUUUUCCAGGCUGGCCGUGUGUGUUUGGUGUCAUUUAUGGAGGAAGCAGCAGCGGCCAAGGAACUGAUGGAAGUUCAGCCUCACCAAUAAACUGGAAGCCACGGCGCCGCUCCUCCUUCCGAGCCAACUUCCAGGACCACGAGCAUCCCCAGCCGGGUCCCUGUGGGACGUUUCAGCGCGGCCGGGGCCAAACAGGAAACACUCGGGUUUCCUGGAAAAGCUUUGUAAAACUUUGACAAAAGUGCUAAUCUGGAGGAUCUUGACGUGGGUGUUGGGAAACUGGGGUGAGAUGUGGAGGAUUCUGCGGGGGCCGCCAGCACACACGGUGUUUCUCCAGGAUCACGUAUGUCACGUAUGACAUGUUCCUUAGCUGAGAUCUAAGGCAGAGAGAGAGAGAGGGGCAAAGGGAGGGAGGGGGUGUGGGAAGAGGAGGAGAGACAGAGGGUUCGAGAGCCUCUGCUGAGGAAGGUCAAGGCCUCGACACCACCCUGCUCUCCAGCCCAGAAGCCCAGAACUCCGAGGGUCCCGUGGAUCAGACUGCUCUCACCGUGUCAUGGGAGGGAGAUUACAAGGAACAGUUGAAUAAAUACAACUUUCCACUCGAAAA
Long non-coding RNA from Balaenoptera musculus (blue whale), 5972 nucleotides. RefSeq lists it as uncharacterized. The record is from RefSeq and is a predicted model, not a curated record. The transcript is spliced from 10 exons. NCBI's taxonomy places the organism in Eukaryota, Metazoa, Chordata, Mammalia, Artiodactyla, Balaenopteridae.